AGGUGUUAAGGUUAAUAACCUUGACAAUUGACGUUACCGACAGAAGAAGCACCGGCUAACUCCGUGCCAGCAGCCGCGGUAAUACGGAGGGUGCAAGCGUUAAUCGGAAUUACUGGGCGUAAAGCGCACGCAGGCGGUUGAUUGAGUCAGAUGUGAAAUCCCCGGGCUUAACCCGGGAAUUGCAUCUGAUACUGGUCAGCUAGAGUCUUGUAGAGGGGGGUAGAAUUCCAUGUGUAGCGGUGAAAUGCGUAGAGAUGUGGAGGAAUACCGGUGGCGAAGGCGGCCCCCUGGACAAAGACUGACGCUCAGGUGCG
RNAcentral lists this ribosomal RNA (314 nucleotides) under Morganella morganii. RNAcentral describes it as "bacterial SSU rRNA". It matches the Rfam family "Bacterial small subunit ribosomal RNA", at positions 443 to 755 of the family's 1533-position model. The record is from RNAcentral. Lineage: Bacteria; Pseudomonadati; Pseudomonadota; Gammaproteobacteria; Enterobacterales; Morganellaceae.